AUUAUCCGGCUUCAGCGCUCCGUGCGUCCGGCCCAGGUAACAACUUCCCCAAAAACCGAAAGAGAAAAGCGCGAGGCGCACGCACACCGGCCCAUCCCGGCGCAGAGACCUCGUCUGCCCCGGGAGGGGGAUCUGUCUGUGGUGCUUCCCGGUCUCUAAGCCCAGGGCCUACUGCAGUGCAUGAAGGUGGUAUGGACUCAGAACUCUGAAGUCUGAGGAGACAAAUACAUGCCCACCAUAACAACAUCACACAAUACCUAGAGUCAAAACAGUUAUCCCUAUUCCUACCCCCAACUGAGUUAUUCAAUAAAGCCUGCCUUGUUGAAUCUGUUUUCCCAUGUAUAGUUUAUAUAGUUACAUAACAAUUAGUUUUUUCCAUAUACUUAGGAUAACUACAUGUAAUUUAGUAUUCUGCUGUUUUCACUUACAUAUCACAUACAUUUUCCUGAUACAGGUACAUAGUCUUUAUAUUUGUCAUUUUUCACUUGACUGCUAUGUUUCUCAAAUUGAUAUACUGUCAUUUCCUAAGCCAGUUAUAUAUUGUUGAACAUUUAAAUUACUCCCUUUUUUGGUUUGUAAAUAAACAUUGUUAUGAAAUAGUU
Molecule: long non-coding RNA, 602 nt
Organism: Homo sapiens (human)
Lineage: Eukaryota; Metazoa; Chordata; Mammalia; Primates; Hominidae
Gene: ZEB1-AS1
Product: ZEB1 antisense RNA 1
Source: Ensembl